GACGAACGCUGGCGGCGUGCUUAACACAUGCAAGUCGAACGGAAAGGCCCUGCUUUUGUGGGGUGCUCGAGUGGCGAACGGGUGAGUAACACGUGGGUAACCUGCCCUUGACUUUGGGAUAACUUCAGGAAACUGGGGCUAAUACCGGAUAGGAGCUCCUGCUGCAUGGUGGGGGUUGGAAAGUUUCGGCGGUUGGGGAUGGACUCGCGGCUUAUCGGCUUGUUGGUGGGGUAGUGGCUUACCAAGGCUUUGACGGGUAGCCGGCCUGAGAGGGUGACCGGCCACAUUGGGACUGAGAUACGGCCCAGACUCCUACGGGAGGCAGCAGUGGGGAAUAUUGCACAAUGGGCGGAAGCCUGAUGCAGCAACGCCGCGUGCGGGAUGACGGCCUUCGGGUUGUAAACCGCUUUCGCCUGUGACGAAGCGUGAGUGACGGUAAUGGGUAAAGAAGCACCGGCUAACUACGUG
This 468-nucleotide ribosomal RNA is filed under the name uncultured bacterium. RNAcentral describes it as "partial 16S ribosomal RNA". It matches the Rfam family "Bacterial small subunit ribosomal RNA", at positions 28 to 507 of the family's 1533-position model. The record is from RNAcentral.